GAUGAACGCUGGCGGCGUGCCUAAUACAUGCAAGUCGAGCGAACAGACGAGGAGCUUGCUCCUCUGACGUUAGCGGCGGACGGGUGAGUAACACGUGGAUAACCUACCUAUAAGACUGGGAUAACUUCGGGAAACCGGAGCUAAUACCGGAUAACAUGUUGAACCGCAUGGUUCAACAGUGAAAGACGGUCUUGCUGUCACUUAUAGAUGGAUCCGCGCCGCAUUAGCUAGUUGGUAAGGUAACGGCUUACCAAGGCAACGAUGCGUAGCCGACCUGAGAGGGUGAUCGGCCACACUGGAACUGAGACACGGUCCAGACUCCUACGGGAGGCAGCAGUAGGGAAUCUUCCGCAAUGGGCGAAAGCCUGACGGAGCAACGCCGCGUGAGUGAAGAAGGUCUUCGGAUCGUAAAACUCUGUUAUUAGGGAAGAACAAAUGUGGAAGUAACUAUGCACGUCUUGACGGUACCUAAUCAGAAAGCCACGGCUAACUACGUG
Molecule: ribosomal RNA, 497 nt
Filed under: uncultured bacterium
Lineage: Bacteria
Description: partial 16S ribosomal RNA
Rfam family: Bacterial small subunit ribosomal RNA
Source: RNAcentral